This 484-nucleotide ribosomal RNA is filed under the name uncultured bacterium. RNAcentral describes it as "partial 16S ribosomal RNA". It matches the Rfam family "Bacterial small subunit ribosomal RNA", at positions 30 to 507 of the family's 1533-position model. The record is from RNAcentral.
AUUGAACGCUGGCGGAAUGCUUUACACAUGCAAGUCGAGCGGCAGCACGGGGGCAACCCUGGUGGCGAGCGGCGAACGGGUGAGUAAUACAUCGGAACAUGCCCAGUCGUGGGGGAUAACACUUCGAAAGAAGUGCUAAUACCGCAUACGUCCUGAGGGGGAAAGCGGGGGAUCGCAAGACCUCGCGCGAUUGGAGUGGCCGAUGUCAGAUUAGCUAGUUGGUGGGGUAAAGGCCUACCAAGGCAACGAUCUGUAGCUGGUCUGAGAGGAUGAUCAGCCACACUGGGACUGGGACACGGCCCAGACUCCUACGGGAGGCAGCAGUGGGGAAUUUUGGACAAUGGGGGCAACCCCGAUCCAGCCAUUCCGCGUGAGUGAAGAAGGCCUUCGGGUUGUAAAGCUCUUUCGGCAGGAACGAAACGGUGAGCUCUAACAUAGCUUGCUAAUGACGGUACCUGAAGAAGAAGCACCGGCUAACUACGUG